AACCCACCAGUUCCUCUGGCUCCCAGUGUGAAACAACAAAGGAAGGGGACAUUCCUGAUGGUUCCAUGAACAUACACUGAGUUUUGCUUUGGAGGGAGAUCAUCAGAUCUUUCAAAGAGAUAGAAGGUCCUGGUAUUUAACAAAACACUGCAUCAUUGGCUGAUGAUUGACUGAAUCAGGCUGCUUUUUCAUAUGGCUUGUGACUAAAAAACAGUAAUUUGGAAUUAGUUUUUAUGGUUUUAUAUCAGAUUGUUUCUUCAGGGUAAAGAUCAUUGCUA
RNAcentral lists this long non-coding RNA (278 nucleotides) under Anser brachyrhynchus (Pink-footed goose). Its description in RNAcentral is "lncRNA (ENSABRG00000018833.1)". The record is from RNAcentral. Lineage: Eukaryota; Metazoa; Chordata; Aves; Anseriformes; Anatidae.